RNAcentral lists this ribosomal RNA (440 nucleotides) under uncultured Massilia sp. RNAcentral describes it as "bacterial SSU rRNA". It matches the Rfam family "Bacterial small subunit ribosomal RNA", at positions 358 to 790 of the family's 1533-position model. The record is from RNAcentral. Lineage: Bacteria; Pseudomonadati; Pseudomonadota; Betaproteobacteria; Burkholderiales; Oxalobacteraceae.
GGAAUUUUGGACAAUGGGCGAAAGCCUGAUCCAGCAAUGCCGCGUGAGUGAAGAAGGCCUUCGGGUUGUAAAGCUCUUUUGUCAGGGAAGAAACGGUUUGGGCUAAUACCCUGAGCUAAUGACGGUACCUGAAGAAUAAGCACCGGCUAACUACGUGCCAGCAGCCGCGGUAAUACGUAGGGUGCAAGCGUUAAUCGGAAUUACUGGGCGUAAAGCGUGCGCAGGCGGUUUUGUAAGUCUGACGUGAAAUCCCCGGGCUCAACCUGGGAAUUGCGUUGGAGACUGCAAGGCUAGAAUCUGGCAGAGGGGGGUAGAAUUCCACGUGUAGCAGUGAAAUGCGUAGAGAUGUGGAGGAACACCGAUGGCGAAGGCAGCCCCCUGGGUCAAGAUUGACGCUCAUGCACGAAAGCGUGGGGAGCAAACAGGAUUAGAUACCCGGG